Small nucleolar RNA from Sciurus vulgaris (Eurasian red squirrel), 107 nucleotides. The record is from Ensembl. NCBI's taxonomy places the organism in Eukaryota, Metazoa, Chordata, Mammalia, Rodentia, Sciuridae.
AUUCUCACACUUAACAAAAUAAGCAUGAUGGUUGGGUUUCCACAUCAUUGUGUGAGAGAUGCUUCCCUCAAACCUUCUUAGGAUAUGAGAAUAUGGCCUAUCUGACA